GCUGGCCAUGAUGGCACAUGUGUGUAGUCCCAUCUACUCUGGAGGUUGAGGUGGAAGUAUUGCUUGAGACCAAGAGUUCUGGGCUGUAGUGCACCUGGCUGACAGUGUGUCUACCCUAAGGUCAGCAUUGAUAUGUUUAUCUCAUGAGAGUGAUGGACCACCAGGUUGCUGAAGGAGAGCUGAAGUAGCCCAGGUUGGGAACAGGGUGCAUCAAAAUUCCUGUGCUGGUCUGUAGUGGAGUUGUGCCUGUCAAUAGCUACCACACUCAAGUCAGAGCAACACAGAGACUUGGUCUCUAAAAUAAUAAUAACUAUU
RNAcentral lists this signal recognition particle RNA (315 nucleotides) under Aotus nancymaae (Ma's night monkey). RNAcentral's name for it is "Metazoan signal recognition particle RNA (ENSANAG00000005963.1)". It matches the Rfam family "Metazoan signal recognition particle RNA". Rfam says of the family: The signal recognition particle (SRP) is a universally conserved ribonucleoprotein. Lineage: Eukaryota; Metazoa; Chordata; Mammalia; Primates; Aotidae. The record is from RNAcentral.